This 433-nucleotide long non-coding RNA is filed under the name Lathyrus oleraceus (garden pea). RNAcentral's name for it is "Pisum sativum (pea) long non-coding RNA (PSAT_LNC005412)". The record is from RNAcentral. Lineage: Eukaryota; Viridiplantae; Streptophyta; Magnoliopsida; Fabales; Fabaceae.
ACGGCGAGUGUAACGCCCAAAAAUAAUUAUUUGUUAUUUUUAAUAUUUACGUAAUUAUUGUGGUUAGUCGGAAAUUAGUCGAAAGUCGUAGAAAUUAUUAUAAGAAAUAAUAAUAUAAUUGUGGUGUUAUUUGAGUAAGUGGGCUUAUCAUUGUGUGCUAAUUAGUAAAAUGAGAGGUGUUAUAUUAGGCCCAUUAGAGAUUAGGAUAUUUAGUUAAUUUAAUAAAGAGAAAAUAAAAGAGGUGAUAGAAAAAGAAAAAAAAAACAGUAGUGGAGAGAAGUUAGCAGAAGAGGAAUUGGAGAACUGUUGUACGAACGAGAGGGAAGGAGAAGAAAACUUCUGGAAUCCGAUUCUUAGAGCAACCUUCGAUCCAAAAUAAUAAGGUAAGGGGGGUUUAUCGUCGUUUAAUGGGUAUUAUGGGUUAACAUGUAAU